GUCUGAUGGAGCACGCCGCGUGAGUGAAGAAGGGUUUCGGCUCGUAAAACUCUGUUGUUAAAGAAGAACAUAUCUGAGAGUAACUGUUCAGAUAUUGACGGUAUUUAACCAGAAAGCCACGGCUAACUACGUGCCAGCAGCCGCGGUAAUACGUAGGUGGCAAGCGUUGUCCGGAUUUAUUGGGCGUAAAGCGAGCGCAGGCGGUUUUUUAAGUCUGAUGUGAAAGCCUUCGGCUCAACCGAAGAAGUGCAUCGGAAACUGGGAAACUUGAGUGCAGAAGAGGACAGUGGAACUCCAUGUGUAGCGGUGAAAUGCGUAGAUAUAUGGAAGAACACCAGUGGCGAAGGCGGCUGUCUGGUCUGUAACUGACGCUGAGGCUCGAAAGUAUGGGUAGCAAACAGGAUUAGAUACCCUGGUAGUCCAUACCGUAAACGAUGAAUGCUAAGUGUUGGAGGGUUUCCGCCCUUCAGUGCUGCAGCUAACGCAUUAAGCAUUCCGCCUGGGGAGUACGGCCGCAAGGCUGAAACUCAAAGGAAUUGACGGGGGCCCGCACAAGCGGUGGAGCAUGUGGUUUAAUUCGAAGCUACGCGAAGAACCUUACCAGGUCUUGACAUACUAUGCAAAUCUAAGAGAUUAGACGUUCCCUUCGGGGACAUGGAUACAGGUGGUGCAUGGUUGUCGUCAGCUCGUGUCGUGAGAUGUUGGGUUAAGUCCCGCAACGAGCGCAACCCUUAUUAUCAGUUGCCAGCAUUAAGUUGGGCACUCUGGUGAGACUGCCGGUGACAAACCGGAGGAAGGUGGGGAUGACGUCAAAUCAUCAUGCCCCUUAUGACCUGGGCUACACACGUGCUACAAUGGAUGGUACAACGAGUUGCGAACUCGCGAGAGUAAGCUAAUCUCUUAAAGCCAUUCUCAGUUCGGAUUGUACG
This 929-nucleotide ribosomal RNA is filed under the name Lactiplantibacillus plantarum. RNAcentral's name for it is "bacterial SSU rRNA". It matches the Rfam family "Bacterial small subunit ribosomal RNA", at positions 381 to 1304 of the family's 1533-position model. The record is from RNAcentral. Lineage: Bacteria; Bacillati; Bacillota; Bacilli; Lactobacillales; Lactobacillaceae.